This is an RNA transcript of Teleopsis dalmanni, 946 nucleotides long. RefSeq lists it as uncharacterized. The record is from RefSeq and is a predicted model, not a curated record. Lineage: Eukaryota; Metazoa; Arthropoda; Insecta; Diptera; Diopsidae. The transcript is spliced from 4 exons.
AGAAUAAAAUUCAAAAUUCGUCUCCUGAUACUUGAGAACACAAUAGUAUACAUUUUGGCAUUCACAUAUCUCUUUCGGUUCUUUUAGUCAAUCCAAAUUCAAAAUCUAUAACAUGUCUAUUAAGGAGGACGACUUAAUACCUCCAGCCGAAUUGAAUGCAUACUUUAUGGGAAAAUUUAAAUGUAUUGAGAAGAAAAUACGAAAAUUAGAAAGACAAAAUGAUUUUUAUGCCCAAGAGGUUAAGAGAAUUAAGAAAGAAUUUGAUGCAAAUGAAAAAUAUUUCGAUAGUUAUCCUAACUUUGCUAAUGAAGGAUGUGAUUUUGAUCAUGACUCUUGGCGUUAUAAAUUAAUGGAUGAAAUUCGUGAAACGCAAUGUCCCCCUGAUAUCGACAAAUUAAAUAUGUUCGAGGAGAUCAUGUUAGAGGUGAAAUUAGAGCAGAAAUAUAAGAAUGAAGUGAAUGAGGAAGAGGAAAUGGUGGUAAAAGAGGUGAAAAAGAAAUCUAAAAAGGACAUAGAGAGAGAAAACAUGAUGUAUUUAAUAAAGGGACCUGACAAGAAAUGCAAAAAGGAAGAGGAAGAAGCUGAAAAUUGUGAAGAAGAAAAUGACGAGAAUGAAUCUGAUGAUGAUUGUGAAGAAGGUUCUGAUCAAGUAGAAGCAGUUUGUUGCCAUUAAUAUGAAAGAUAUUGCGGUUCUCAUUACAAGGACUCGUUAUUGGACUUGAAUCUACUUUAUUUUUAAUUAGGAAAACAAAAUGAUUUACUAAAAUCAUUAUAAUAUUUUGAAGAUGGAAAAAAUUGACUGAAAAAAUUUAAAGGAUUGAUUGGAAUUUACAAAAUCGGACUAAUGGAUAAGUUAAAACUUACCUUAGGACUUAUAUCAAUGCCAAACAAUGUAAUUAAAAAUUUUUACCUGAAAUGAAAGAAAAAAAACUUUUAUUAAUUUUCG